AAAAGGGGGCAGCAUCAUCAAAGCUUGCUUUGAUGGAUGGCGACCGGCGCACGGGUGAGUAACACGUAUCCCACCUGCCGACAACACUGGGAUAGCCUUUCGAAAGAAAGAUUAAUACCGGAUGGUAUAGUUUUCCCGCAUGGGGUGACUAUUAAAGAAUUUCGGUUGUCGAUGGGGAUGCGUUCCAUUAGGCAGUUGGCGGGGUAACGGCCCACCAAACCAACGAUGGAUAGGGGUUCUGAGAGGAAGGUCCCCCACAUUGGAACUGAGACACGGUCCAAACUCCUACGGGAGGCAGCAGUGAGGAAUAUUGGUCAAUGGACGAGAGUCUGAACCAGCCAAGUAGCGUGAAGGAUGACUGCCCUAUGGGUUGUAAACUUCUUUUAUACGGGAAUAAAGUGAGCCACGUGUGGCUUUUUGUAUGUACCGUAUGAAUAAGGAUCGGCUAACUCCGUGCCAGCAGCCGCGGUAAUACGGAGGAUCCGAGCGUUAUCCGGAUUUAUUGGGUUUAAAGGGAGCGUAGGCGGGUUGUUAAGUCAGUUGUGAAAGUUUGCGGCUCAACCGUAAAAUUGCAGUUGAUACUGGCGACCUUGAGUGCAACAGAGGUAGGCGGAAUUCGUGGUGUAGCGGUGAAAUGCUUAGAUAUCACGAAGAACUCCGAUUG
This 664-nucleotide ribosomal RNA is filed under the name uncultured Bacteroides sp. RNAcentral's name for it is "bacterial SSU rRNA". It matches the Rfam family "Bacterial small subunit ribosomal RNA", at positions 64 to 715 of the family's 1533-position model. Lineage: Bacteria; Pseudomonadati; Bacteroidota; Bacteroidia; Bacteroidales; Bacteroidaceae. The record is from RNAcentral.